RNAcentral lists this ribosomal RNA (507 nucleotides) under Triticum aestivum (bread wheat). RNAcentral's name for it is "partial small subunit ribosomal RNA". The record is from RNAcentral. Lineage: Eukaryota; Viridiplantae; Streptophyta; Magnoliopsida; Poales; Poaceae.
AUGGUCAUGAUACACCUAAAACUACAUGAGCUCCCUGCGAAACAUGUAUCGAAGCGAUGGACUAGAGCUGCAAGAGAUAUACUACCACCGGAGUAUUUGCGCUACCAAAAGGAUCGUGAGCCGCUGAAGUAUUCUUCUCGUCGACACAACACUUUGUACCUGUUGGCACUCGAUAUCGUUAAGUUAGGCGACAGUAAUGUGGAAGCGUAUGCACUUGCUAUGGAGAAAAUGCGAGAUGUCAAAGUGUUGGUCGAGCCAGUUUCCGCCGUGAGGGAUGGGCUUGGUUUGUUUGAUAGAGAGCUGGCAGCAGAUUCAGCUGGCUUUGGCGUUGGUAACAAGCACCACUUUGGCCGAACCGAGUCUGAACACACCAUUUCGCAAGGAUCAGAUGUAUUCCCAGCACCGUCGAGGAAACGACCGGCUGGGUGUCCAACAACCAGUCGUGACAAGGCUCCAUAUGAACAACCAUCAAAGAGAAGUAGAUUAUGUUCUAUAUGCAUAAUUUAG